Molecule: long non-coding RNA, 1224 nt
Filed under: Cavia porcellus (domestic guinea pig)
Lineage: Eukaryota; Metazoa; Chordata; Mammalia; Rodentia; Caviidae
Description: lncRNA (ENSCPOG00000036073.1)
Source: RNAcentral
CAGAUGCAGUGCAUCCAGCCCUGACCUGGCCCCGCUGAGUGCCCUGGAGUUAGGAAGCAGGGAGCGCCCUCGGCCCCACUCCCUCAUGGAGAUCUGACUGUACCUGGCUGGGGGCGUGUGGGGUGGGAGGAGGCUGGCUGCCCUGCUUGAGCCAGCAGCCCAGGAGCGUCGAAUUCAGGGAAAAGCGCCUGACUCCCGGUGCUCCUGCACUCCAGCCAGUCACAGAAACCAGGGAGGCUGAGGCCCGGGCUGGCCAAGGUCACGCGGAAUGCAGGACUAGACUGCAGGGCUCGGGAUCCAGCCAAGGCCUUUGCAGCGGGCAAGGUUCCCACAUUUGGAAAGGAGCACCCGCACUGAUCUCUGCCGGACAAGCCUUUGGCUGUGUUACGGAGCACAGAGCUCACAUUUGGAUACAGCGCUGAUUUCAGAGAAAUAAUUGAAGCCAUGAAAUGCUGAAGGGCCGUGCAUUUUACAAUUCUUGUGUUUGUUGGGUGUAGAAGACCAAAUGGAGGAUUUUAGUUCUCGCCACCACUGGAAAGGGUGUCUUUGUCCUCUUCUUCCCUCAACUUUGGAAAGUUAAGAAAACAAGACAAAUCACGUGGGGACACGUUCGCCCCACUGUGAGUGAGCAGGACUUUAGUAACAGAUAGCUGUGCCGGGCUCCUUCCUUGUCUCCCUGGAGUGAGAGCUGUGGCCUGCGGUUUGCCUGGAAGGGAGAUCCUCUGCCAGGGGGAAGCGAGCCGAGGAGCAGACCAGGCGGCCACUUGCUAGGCGUCCUUACCUCCCUGCCGCCCCCUGAGGCUCCCACCGGCAGGCCUUCAGGCCUGGCAGAGUCGGGGUCCCAGCUCUGCUGAGCUGUGCCACCUCUCCUGGAGAGACGGAGAGCCAGAGAGCCAGAGAGCCAGAGAGCCAGAGAGCCAGAGAGCCAGAGAGCCAGAGAGAGAGUCGUGGGGUGCAGGCCCUGCUGUGGGAGGUAGGUUGGAGUCUCUCCCCACUGCCCAGUGUGCCCCUGCCGACUCAUCUUUAGUUACAAAGGAAUGCUGAUUUGUUUAAGUUAAAAAACAAGAAAGUGUGUAAACAGACAGUAAAACUGCUCAAGCCGAAGCUUUUCAGUCACCAGCCGAUUCCUGUGCGUCCUGCUGCCGCGCACAUGAACUCAUGUGUAAGCAUGCGUUAUUAUUACUAACUUCUAAUGGGUAAAAUUAAAACAUUUGUACUAAAAUG